This 431-nucleotide ribosomal RNA is filed under the name uncultured Alphaproteobacteria bacterium. Its description in RNAcentral is "bacterial SSU rRNA". It matches the Rfam family "Bacterial small subunit ribosomal RNA", at positions 391 to 841 of the family's 1533-position model. Lineage: Bacteria; Pseudomonadati; Pseudomonadota; Alphaproteobacteria. The record is from RNAcentral.
GCGAUGCCGCGUGAGUGAAGAAGGCCUUUGGGUUGUAAAGCUCUUUCGUCGGGGAAGAAAAUGACUGUACCCGAAUAAGAAGGUCCGGCUAACUUCGUGCCAGCAGCCGCGGUAAUACGAAGGGACCUAGCGUAGUUCGGAAUUACUGGGCUUAAAGAGCUCGUAGGUGGUUAGAAAAGUUGGUGGUGAAAUCCCAAAGCUUAACCUUGGAACUGCCACCAAAACUUUUUAACUAGAGUAUGAUAGAGGAAAGUGGAAUUUCUAGUGUAGAGGUGAAAUUCGUAGAUAUUAGAAAGAACACCAAUUGCGAAGGCAGCUUUCUGGAUCAUUACUGACACUGAGGAGCGAAAGCAUGGGUAGCGAAAAGGAUUAGAUACCCUCGUAGUCCAUGCCGUAAACGAUGUGUGCUAGACGUUGGAAAUUUAUUUUUC